This 496-nucleotide ribosomal RNA is filed under the name uncultured bacterium. RNAcentral describes it as "partial 16S ribosomal RNA". It matches the Rfam family "Bacterial small subunit ribosomal RNA", at positions 28 to 506 of the family's 1533-position model. The record is from RNAcentral.
GAUGAACGCUGGCGGCGUGCCUAAUACAUGCAAGUCGAGCGAACAGACGAGGAGCUUGCUCCUCUGAUGUUAGCGGCGGACGGGUGAGUAACACGUGGAUAACCUACCUAUAAGACUGGGAUAACUUCGGGAAACCGGAGCUAAUACCGGAUAACAUGUUGAACCGCAUGGUUCAACAGUGAAAGACGGUCUUGCUGUCACUUAUAGAUGGAUCCGCGCCGCAUUAGCUAGUUGGUAAGGUAACGGCUUACCAAGGCAACGAUGCGUAGCCGACCUGAGAGGGUGAUCGGCCACACUGGAACUGAGACACGGUCCAGACUCCUACGGGAGGCAGCAGUAGGGAAUCUUCCGCAAUGGGCGAAAGCCUGACGGAGCAACGCCGCGUGAGUGAAGAAGGUCUUCGGAUCGUAAAACUCUGUUAUUAGGGAAGAACAAAUGUGUAAGUAACUAUGCACGUCUGGACGGUACCUAAUCAGAAAGCCACGGCUAACUACGU